GUGGGGAAUUUUGGACAAUGGGCGAAAGCCUGAUCCAGCCAUGCCGCGUGAGUGAAGAAGGCCUUCGGGUUGUAAAGCUCUUUCAGACGGAAAGAAAUCUCUCGGGUGAAUAUCCCGGGAGGAUGACGGUACCGUAAGAAGAAGCACCGGCUAACUACGUGCCAGCAGCCGCGGUAAUACGUAGGGUGCGAGCGUUAAUCGGAAUUACUGGGCGUAAAGCGUGCGCAGGCGGUUGCAUAAGACAGAUGUGAAAUCCCCGGGCUCAACCUGGGAACUGCGUUUGUGACUGUGUAACUAGAGUACGGUAGAGGGGGGUGGAAUUCCUGGUGUAGCAGUGAAAUGCGUAGAUAUCAGGAGGAACAUCGAUGGCGAAGGCAGCCCCCUGGACCUGUACUGACGCUCAUGCACGAAAGCGUGGGGAGCAAACAGGAUUAGAAACCCUAGUAGUCC
Molecule: ribosomal RNA, 450 nt
Filed under: uncultured bacterium
Lineage: Bacteria
Description: bacterial SSU rRNA
Rfam family: Bacterial small subunit ribosomal RNA
Source: RNAcentral